Molecule: ribosomal RNA, 497 nt
Filed under: uncultured bacterium
Lineage: Bacteria
Description: partial 16S ribosomal RNA
Rfam family: Bacterial small subunit ribosomal RNA
Source: RNAcentral
GAUGAACGCUGGCGGCGUGCCUAACACAUGCAAGUCGAGCGGACGGACGAGACGUUUGCUUCGUUGCUGUUAGCGGCGGGCGGGUGAGUCACACGUGGAUCCCCUACCUAUAAGUCUGGGAUCAUCUCGGGAAACCGUAUCUAAUACCAGAUAAUAUUUUGAACCGCAGGGUUCAUAAGUGAAUGACGGUCUUGCUGUCACUUAUAGAUGGAUCCGAGCUGGAUUGGCUAGUUGGUAAGGUAACGGCUUACCAAGGCAACGAUGCAUAGCCGACCUGAGAGGGUGAUCGGCCACACGGGAACUGAGACACGGUCCAGACUCCUACGGGAGGCAGCAGUAGGGAAUAUUGCGCAAUGGGCGAAAGCCUGACGGAGCAACGCCGCGUGAGUGAUGAAGGUCUUCGGAUCGUAAAGCUCUGUUAUUAGGGAAGAACAUAUGUGUAAUUAACUGUGGACAUCUUGACGGUACCUAAUCAAAAAGCAACGGCUAACUACGUG